UACGUAGGGUGCGAGCGUUAAUCGGAAUUACUGGGCGUAAAGCGUGCGCAGGCGGUUAUGUAAGACAGGUGUGAAAUCCCCGGGCUUAACCUGGGAACUGCAUUUGAGACUGCAUAGCUAGAGUACGGUAGAGGGGGAUGGAAUUCCGCGUGUAGCAGUGAAAUGCGUAGAUAUGCGGAGGAACACCGAUGGCGAAGGCAAUCCCCUGGACCUGUACUGACGCUCAUGCACGAAAGCGUGGGGAGCAAACAGG
Molecule: ribosomal RNA, 253 nt
Filed under: uncultured bacterium
Lineage: Bacteria
Description: partial 16S ribosomal RNA
Rfam family: Bacterial small subunit ribosomal RNA
Source: RNAcentral